RNAcentral lists this ribosomal RNA (591 nucleotides) under Meyerozyma guilliermondii. RNAcentral's name for it is "eukaryotic LSU rRNA". It matches the Rfam family "Eukaryotic large subunit ribosomal RNA", at positions 51 to 658 of the family's 3401-position model. Lineage: Eukaryota; Fungi; Ascomycota; Pichiomycetes; Serinales; Debaryomycetaceae. The record is from RNAcentral.
CGGAGGAAAAGAAACCAACAGGGAUUGCCUUAGUAGCGGCGAGUGAAGCGGCAAAAGCUCAAAUUUGAAAUCUGGCGCCUUCGGUGUCCGAGUUGUAAUUUGAAGAUUGUAACCUUGGGGUUGGCUCUUGUCUAUGUUUCUUGGAACAGGACGUCACAGAGGGUGAGAAUCCCGUGCGAUGAGAUGCCCAAUUCUAUGUAAGGUGCUUUCGAAGAGUCGAGUUGUUUGGGAAUGCAGCUCUAAGUGGGUGGUAAAUUCCAUCUAAAGCUAAAUAUUGGCGAGAGACCGAUAGCGAACAAGUACAGUGAUGGAAAGAUGAAAAGAACUUUGAAAAGAGAGUGAAAAAGUACGUGAAAUUGUUGAAAGGGAAGGGUUUGAGAUCAGACUCGAUAUUUUGUGAGCCUUGCCUUCGUGGCGGGGUGACCCGCAGCUUAUCGGGCCAGCAUCGGUUUGGGCGGUAGGAUAAUGGCGUAGGAAUGUGACUUUACUUCGGUGAAGUGUUAUAGCCUGCGUUGAUGCUGCCUGCCUAGACCGAGGACUGCGAUUUUAUCAAGGAUGCUGGCAUAAUGAUCCCAAACCGCCCGUCUUGAA